GCGCGGUUGAUCUUCUUUUGAUUAGGGUUGAGCGGGAAGUUCCCCUGCAAUGCCCUAAUUUCACAGACCGCUGUAUUUAAAUGCCAGUGCCAAUGUUCUAGCAGCAUCGCUCGAGAUCCAGUGGCUGAGGGGUUUAUGCAUGCUUAGUAGAAACAAGGAUGAGCUCCUAUUAAGUUGCUGUCUGGUGAGGUCAGAUGUUACAAGUUUCCAGUAUUAAGGCAUGGUUUGAGGAAGAGAUGAACAUGUGGCUGUAAUUCCUUCUCGCAUAAACUCUACAUGCGAUGGCAUAUAUCCUUGUCUGAAAGGCAAGUGCUUUCCCUUCUUACACGGGAACCUUUGGAGCUCAUUGUCUGAUUUUGUGGCCCUCUAUGUAAAUAAGCUAUAUGCAGACUGACUUCAAACCAUUAUUUUGGUUCAGGUAAGGUCACUUCAGCUCUAGAAUAAGAACAAACCACAUUAUUGUUCCUCAGAAGCUCUAAUUUUUGAGCAUUUAUUCAAUAGAGAAAUCAAAUGAAACCCAAUUCAGGGGAUGGAUUUUUUGUUUGGAAGAUAAAUAAACGAAGUUCCUCUACUCAGAAGAUAA
This is a non-coding RNA of Cucurbita pepo subsp. pepo (vegetable marrow), 583 nucleotides long. The record is from RefSeq and is a predicted model, not a curated record. Lineage: Eukaryota; Viridiplantae; Streptophyta; Magnoliopsida; Cucurbitales; Cucurbitaceae.